GUUAAUGUAGCUUAAACUACCAAAGCAAAGCACUGAAAAUGCUUAGACGGGUUAGCUAACCCCAUAAACA
This is a non-coding RNA of Propithecus coquereli (Coquerel's sifaka), 70 nucleotides long. NCBI's taxonomy places the organism in Eukaryota, Metazoa, Chordata, Mammalia, Primates, Indriidae. The record is from Ensembl.